GCAAGUUCGAUAUGGGGUAGUGGUUAACCUAACGGAUUUUCACUCCGUGGCCCCGGGUUCGAUUCCCGGUAUCGAAGUUC
This 80-nucleotide transfer RNA is filed under the name Penicillium nalgiovense. RNAcentral's name for it is "tRNA-Glu". It matches the Rfam family "tRNA". From Rfam's summary of the family: Transfer RNA (tRNA) molecules are approximately 80 nucleotides in length. Their secondary structure includes four short double-helical elements and three loops (D, anti-codon, and T loops). The record is from RNAcentral. Lineage: Eukaryota; Fungi; Ascomycota; Eurotiomycetes; Eurotiales; Aspergillaceae.